CCUACGGGGGGCAGCAGUCGAGAAUCAUUCACAAUGGGGGAAACCCUGAUGGUGCGACGCCGCGUGGGGGAAUGAAGGUCUUCGGAUUGUAAACCCCUGUCAUGUGGGAGCAAAUUAAAAAGAUAGUACCACAAGAGGAAGAGACGGCUAACUCUGUGCCAGCAGCCGCGGUAAUACAGAGGUCUCAAGCGUUGUUCGGAAUCACUGGGCGUAAAGCGUGCGUAGGCUGUUUCGUAAGUCGUGUGUGAAAGGCGCGGGCUCAACCCGCGGACGGCACAUGAUACUGCGAGACUAGAGUGAUGGAGGGGGAAACGGAAUUCUCGGUGUAGCAGUGAAAUGCGUAGAGAUCGGGAGGAACACUCGUGGCGAAGGCGGGUUCCUGGACAUUAACUGACGCUGAGGCACGAAGGCCAGGGGAGCGAAAGGGAUUAGAUACCCUUGUAGUC
RNAcentral lists this ribosomal RNA (446 nucleotides) under uncultured bacterium. Its description in RNAcentral is "partial 16S ribosomal RNA". It matches the Rfam family "Bacterial small subunit ribosomal RNA", at positions 338 to 795 of the family's 1533-position model. The record is from RNAcentral.